This is a long non-coding RNA of Xenia sp. Carnegie-2017, 100 nucleotides long. RefSeq lists it as uncharacterized. The record is from RefSeq and is a predicted model, not a curated record. The transcript is spliced from 3 exons. Lineage: Eukaryota; Metazoa; Cnidaria; Anthozoa; Malacalcyonacea; Xeniidae.
ACGCAGAGUACAUGUGAAUCGAAUUUACUAGUGAAUAUUUGAAUAAUGAAUGCACUCCUUCUCCGAGUAAAAUUCAUAGCUGCGAUAAACAAGGACAAGA